UGGGGUAUCGCCAAGUGGUAAGGCAAUCGGCUCUGACCCGAUCAUUCGUAAGUUCGAAUCUUACUACCCCAGCCA
RNAcentral lists this transfer RNA (75 nucleotides) under Clostridium sp. CAG:1219. Its description in RNAcentral is "transfer RNA-Gln(CTG)". It matches the Rfam family "tRNA". Rfam says of the family: Transfer RNA (tRNA) molecules are approximately 80 nucleotides in length. Their secondary structure includes four short double-helical elements and three loops (D, anti-codon, and T loops). Further hydrogen bonds mediate the characteristic L-shaped molecular structure. tRNAs have two regions of fundamental functional importance: the anti-codon, which is responsible for specific mRNA codon recognition, and the 3' end, to which the tRNAs corresponding amino acid is attached (by aminoacyl-tRNA synthetases). tRNAs cope with the degeneracy of the genetic code in two manners: having more than one tRNA (with a specific anti-codon) for a particular amino acid; and 'wobble' base-pairing, i.e. permitting non-standard base-pairing at the 3rd anti-codon position. Lineage: Bacteria; Bacillati; Bacillota; Clostridia; Eubacteriales; Clostridiaceae. The record is from RNAcentral.